UCUAAUUUAUAAUAUAAAAAAUUCGUAAGGGUUCCACGGAACCCGGUGUCUCGCCUACUUUUUCUGUUAAUCGCAGACUCAACAAAAAUGAGGAAAAACAUCAAUAAAAAUUUCCCUCACGAUACUGUCUUUUGAUUGAAAGAAGCUUCCAAGUUUGGUAAAAAAAUCCAGGAUAGUUUAUGAAUCUAAUAAAUGUUUUAUAAACUUUAACUGCAGACUGUAUGUAAUGUUAACUGGAAGAAAAACUAAGUCCAUUUAUAAGUAAAAUACGGAAA
This 275-nucleotide long non-coding RNA is filed under the name Mytilus galloprovincialis (Mediterranean mussel). The record is from RNAcentral. Lineage: Eukaryota; Metazoa; Mollusca; Bivalvia; Mytilida; Mytilidae.